GCCUAAUACAUGCAAGUAGAACGCUGAAGAGAGGAGCUUGCUCUUCUUGGAUGAGUUGCGAACGGGUGAGUAACGCGUAGGUAACCUGCCUUGUAGCGGGGGAUAACUAUUGGAGACGAUAGCUAAUACCGCAUAACAAUGGAUGACACAUGUCAUUUAUUUGAAAGGGGCAAAUGCUCCACUACAAGAUGGACCUGCGUUGUAUUAGCUAGUAGGUGAGGUAACGGCUCACCUAGGCGACGAUACAUAGCCGACCUGAGAGGGUGAUCGGCCACACUGGGACUGAGACACGGCCCAGACUCCUACGGGAGGCAGCAGUAGGGAAUCUUCGGCAAUGGGGGCAACCCUGACCGAGCAACGCCGCGUGAGUGAAGAAGGUUUUCGGAUCGUAAAGCUCUGUUGUAAGUCAAGAACGAGUGUGAGAGUGGAAAGUUCACACUGUGACGGUAGCUUACCAGAAAGGGACGGCUAACUACGUGCCAGCAGCCGCGGUAAUACGUAGGUCCCGAGCGUUGUCCGGAUUUAUUGGGCGUAAAGCGAGCGCAGGCGGUUUGAUAAGUCUGAAGUUAAAGGCUGUGGCUCAACCAUAGUUCGCUUUGGAAACUGUCAAACUUGAGUGCAGAAGGGGAGAGUGGAAUUCCAUGUGUAGCGGUGAAAUGCGUAGAUAUAUGGAGGAACACCGGUGGCGAAAGCGGCUCUCUGGUCUGUAACUGACGCUGAGGCUCGAAAGCGUGGGGAGCGAACAGGAUUAGAUACCCUGGUAGUCCACGCCGUAAACGAUGAGUGCUAGGUGUUGGAUCCUUUCCGGGAUUCAGUGCCGCAGCUAACGCAUCAAGCACUCCGCCUGGGGAGUACGACCGCAAGGUUGAAACUCAAAGGAAUUGACGGGGGCCCGCACAAGCGGUGGAGCAUGUGGUUUAAUUCGAAGCAACGCGAAGAACCUUACCAGGUCUUGACAUCCCGAUGCUAUUUCUAGAGAUAGAAAGUUACUUCGGUACAUCGGUGACAGGUGGUGCGUGGUUGUCGUCAGCUCGUGUCGUGAGAUGUUGGGUUAAGUCCCGCAACGAGCGCAACCCCUAUUGUUAGUUGCCAUCAUUCAGUUGGGCACUCUAGCGAGACUGCCGGUAAUAAACCGGAGGAAGGUGGGGAUGACGUCAAAUCAUCAUGCCCCUUAUGACCUGGGCUACACACGUGCUACAAUGGUUGGUACAACGAGUUGCGAGUCGGUGACGGCAAGCUAAUCUCUUAAAGCCAAUCUCAGUUCGGAUUGUAGGCUGCAACUCGCCUACAUGAAGUCGGAAUCGCUAGUAAUCGCGGAUCAGCACGCCGCGGUGAAUACGUUCCCGGGCCUUGUACACACCGCCCGUCACACCACGAGAGUUUGUAACACCCGAAGUCGGUGAGGUAACCUUUUGGAGCCAGCCGCCUAAGGUGGGAUAGAUGAUUGGGGUGAAGUCAUAACA
This 1463-nucleotide ribosomal RNA is filed under the name uncultured organism. RNAcentral describes it as "SSU rRNA". It matches the Rfam family "Bacterial small subunit ribosomal RNA". The record is from RNAcentral.